ACGGCUCAGUAACACGUAGUCAACCUAACCUAUGGACGGAGAUAACCUCGGGAAACUGAGAAUAAUAUCCGAUAGAACACUAUACCUGGAAUGGUUUGUGUUCCAAAUGAUUUAUCGCCGUAGGAUGGGACUGCGGCCUAUCAGUUUGUUGGUGAGGUAAUGGCCCACCAAGACUAUUACAGGUACGGGCUCUGAGAGGAGUAGCCCGGAGAUGGGUACUGAGACACGGACCCAGGCCCUAUGGGGCGCAGCAGGCGAGAAAACUUUGCAAUGUGCGAAAGCACGACAAGGUUAAUCCGAGUGAUUUGUGCUAAACGAAUCUUUUGUUAGUCUUAGAACCACUAACGAAUAAGGGGUGGGCAAGUUCUGGUGUCAGCCGCCGCGGUAAAACCAGCACCUCAAGUGGUCAGGAUGAUUAUUGGGCCUAAAGCAUCCGUAGCCGGCUCUGUAAGUUUUCGGUUAAAUCUGUACGCUCAACGUACAGGCUGCCGGGAAUACUGCAGAGCUAGGGAGUGGGAGAGGUAGACGGUACUCGGAAGGAAGGGGUAAAAUCCUUUGAUCUUUUGAUGACCACCUGUGGCGAAGGCGGUCUACCAGAACACGUCCGACGGUGAGGGAUGAAAGCUGGGGGAGCAAACCGGAUUAGAUACCCGGGUAGUCCCAGCUGUAAACUAUGCAAACUCAGUGAUGCAUUGACUUGUGGUCAAUGCAGUGCUGCAGGGAAGCCGUUAAGUUUGCCGCCUGGGAAGUACGUACGCAAGUAUGAAACGUAAAGGAAUUGGCGGGGGAGCAC
Molecule: ribosomal RNA, 793 nt
Filed under: uncultured archaeon
Lineage: Archaea
Description: bacterial SSU rRNA
Rfam family: Archaeal small subunit ribosomal RNA
Source: RNAcentral